RNAcentral lists this ribosomal RNA (253 nucleotides) under uncultured bacterium. Its description in RNAcentral is "partial 16S ribosomal RNA". It matches the Rfam family "Bacterial small subunit ribosomal RNA", at positions 524 to 776 of the family's 1533-position model. The record is from RNAcentral.
UACGGAGGGGGCAAGCGUUAUUCGGAAUUAUUGGGCGUAAAGGGCUCGUAGGUGGCCAACUAAGUCAGACGUGAAAUCCCUCGGCUUAACCGGGGAACUGCGUCUGAUACUGGAUGGCUUGAGUUCGGGAGAGGGAUGCGGAAUUCCAGGUGUAGCGGUGAAAUGCGUAGAUAUCUGGAGGAACACCGGUGGCGAAGGCGGCAUCCUGGACCGAGACUGACGCUGAGGAGCGAAAGCCAGGGGAGCAAACGGG